UGAGGAAUAUUGGUCAAUGGUCGGAAGACUGAACCAGCCAUGCCGCGUGAAGGCGACGGCCCUAUGGGUCUUAAACUUCUUUUGUCUGGGAGCAAUAAGGUGUUCGUGAACACCGAUGAGAGUACCAGACGAAUAAGCAUCGGCUAACUCCGUGCCAGCAGCCGCGGUAAUACGGAGGAUGCGAGCGUUAUCCGGAUUUAUUGGGUUUAAAGGGUGCGCAGGCGGCGCGCCAAGUCAGCGGUCAAAGUUCCGGGCUCAACCCGGUGUCGCCGUUGAAACUGGCGUGCUCGAGUGCGUGCGAGGAAGGCGGAAUGCGUUGUGUAGCGGUGAAAUGCAUAGAUAUGACGCAGAACUCCGAUUGCGAAGGCAGCUUUCCAGCGCGCUACUGACGCUGAGGCACGAAAGCGUGGGGAUCGAACAGGAUUAGAUACCCUGGUAGU
This 440-nucleotide ribosomal RNA is filed under the name uncultured Porphyromonadaceae bacterium. Its description in RNAcentral is "bacterial SSU rRNA". It matches the Rfam family "Bacterial small subunit ribosomal RNA", at positions 355 to 794 of the family's 1533-position model. The record is from RNAcentral. Lineage: Bacteria; Pseudomonadati; Bacteroidota; Bacteroidia; Bacteroidales; Porphyromonadaceae.